CGCUCAGUGUCUCGUGGGCUCGGAGAUGUGUAUAAGAGACAGGUACUGUGAAGGAAAGGUGAAAAGAACCCCGAACAGGGGAGUGAAAUAGAACCUGAAACCAUACGCUUACAACCGGUCGGAGCAGUUUCGUGCUGUGACGGCGUGCCUAUUGAAUAAUGAGCCUACGAGUUACUAAUCACUGGCGAGGUUAAGUGCACGGAUGCACGGAGCCGAAGCGAAAGCGAGUCUUAAUAGGGCGUUUAGUCAGUGGUUGUAGACGCGAAACCUUGCGAUCUACCCUUGAGCAGGUUGAAGGUUGGGUAAAACCAACUGGAGGACCGAACGAAUAAGCGUUGAAAAGCUUCUCGAUGACUUGAGGGUAGGGGUGAAAGGCUAAUCAAGCUGGGAAAUAGCUCGUACUCCCCGAAAUGCCUUUAGGGGCAGCGUUGUAAUAAAGAGUCUACUGGAGGUAGAGCUACUGAUUGGAUGCGGGGGCUUCACCGCCUACCAAAUCCUGACAAACUCCGAAUGCCAGUAGUAUGAUUUACAGCAGUGAGCGACCGGGUGCUAAUGUCCGGUUACGAGAGAGGAACAACACAGACCAGCAACUAAGGUCCCCAAGAGUAUACUAAGUUGAUCUAACGAUGUUUUGUUGCAGAGACAGCUAGGAUGUUAGCUUGGAAGCAGCUAUUCAUUCAAAGAGUGCGUAACAGCUCACUAGUCGAGCGACAAAGCGUGGAUAAUAAACGGGCAUCAAGUAUACCACCGAAGUUCUGGGCACGAAAGUGCGGUAGGGGAGCAUUCCAUUCAGCGUCGAAGCAGUUUCGUGAGGAAUUGUGGAGCGUAUGGAAAAGCAAAUGUAGGCAUGAGUAACGAUAAUGCGGGAGAGUAACCCGCACACCGCAAGACCAAGGUUUCCUGAUCAACGCUAAUCGGAUCAGGGUUAGUCGGGUCCUAAGGGUAAGCCGAACGGCGAUCUCGAUGGAUAAUCGGUUAAUAUUCCGAUACUAACAUAUACCUCGAUGGAGAGACGAAGGAACGUAAGUGCCGCCACCUGACGGAAUAGGUGGUUAAAGGGCGUAGGUAUAGGGGCAGAUUAAGAGUUAGUCCUUGCUGAAACCUGACAGUACAGAGAGCCUACGGGCAAUUUGAUAGUGCACCCAAGUCGACUUCCGAGAAAAUCUUCUAAGUUAUAGUAUAUGUUACCCGUACCGUAAACCGACACAGGUGGUCGAGGAGAGUAUCCUAAGGUGCUCGAGUGAAUCACGGUUAAGGAACUAGGCAAAUUAACCCCGUAACUUCGGGAAAAGGGGUCCCAUCGCGAGGUGGGCGCAGCGAAGAGGUCCAGGCGACUGUUUAUCAAAAACACAGGGCUCUGCAAAUUCGAAAGAAGACGUAUAGGGCCUGACACCUGCCCGGUGCUGGAAGGUUAAGAGGGGAUGUCAUCGCAAGAGAAGCAUUGAAUCGAAGCCCCAGUAAACGGCGGCCGUAACUAUAACGGUCCUAAGGUAGCGAAAUUCCUUGUCGGGUAAGUUCCGACCUGCACGAAUGGUGUAACGAUCUGGACACUGUCUCAACCGUGAGCUCGGUGAAAUUGUAGUCCCGGUGAUGAUGCCGGGUACCCGCAACGGGACGAAAAGACCCCGUGAACCUUUACUAUAGCUUAACGCUGAAUUUGGGUACACAAUGUGUAGGAUAGGCAGGAGACUAUGAAGCGGGUACGCCAGUAUUCGUGGAGUCAACGUUGAAAUACGGCCCUUUGUGUACUUGGAUUCUAACCCUUGAUAGGGGACACCGUUUGGUGGGUAGUUUGACUGGGGUGGUCGCCUCCAAAAGCGUAACGGAGGCUUCCCAAGGUACCCUCAGCACGAAUGGUAACCGUGCGUAGAGUGCAAUAGCAUAAGGGUGCUUGACUGUGAGACCAACAAGUCGAUCAGGUGCGAAAGCAGGGUAUAGUGAUCCGGUGGUUCUGCGUGGACUGGCCAUCGCUCAAAGGAUAAAAGGUACUCCGGGGAUAACAGGCUGAUCGCCGCCAAGAGCUCAUAUCGACGCGGCGGUUUGGCACCUCGAUGUCGGCUCGUCACAUCCUGGGGCUGGAGAAGGUCCCA
RNAcentral lists this ribosomal RNA (2090 nucleotides) under human gut metagenome. RNAcentral describes it as "bacterial LSU rRNA". It matches the Rfam family "Bacterial large subunit ribosomal RNA", at positions 456 to 2567 of the family's 2925-position model. The record is from RNAcentral.